This is a small nuclear RNA of Amblyraja radiata (thorny skate), 169 nucleotides long. RefSeq annotates it as U1 spliceosomal RNA. Lineage: Eukaryota; Metazoa; Chordata; Chondrichthyes; Rajiformes; Rajidae. The transcript has a single exon. The record is from RefSeq and is a predicted model, not a curated record.
AUAUUUAUCAAUUGAAUAGUCUAUUUUGAAAAAAAAAAAAAAAAAGUUUUCCCAGGACGAGGCUAUCCCAUUGCACUUCGGGUGUGCUGACGCCUGUGAUGUCCCCAAAUGCGGGAUACUCGACUGCAAAAUUUGUGGCAGUGGGGGACUGCGUUCGCGCUCUCCCGAU